RNAcentral lists this microRNA (19 nucleotides) under Populus ussuriensis. RNAcentral describes it as "miR172d". Lineage: Eukaryota; Viridiplantae; Streptophyta; Magnoliopsida; Malpighiales; Salicaceae. The record is from RNAcentral.
GGAAUCUUGAUGAUGCUCA